Molecule: long non-coding RNA, 569 nt
Filed under: Brassica rapa (field mustard)
Lineage: Eukaryota; Viridiplantae; Streptophyta; Magnoliopsida; Brassicales; Brassicaceae
Description: long non-coding RNA (BRAP_LNC004462)
Source: RNAcentral
CGCAGGUCAAUCUCUUGUUAAUAUUAGAAUUGAAGUUCUAAAAUUGUUGGAUUUAGGAACGGGUGUAUCGUUUGUCCUCUAUAGGACAUCGAUUCUGCAGAUGCUUUAUAGUAACUUCUCUUUUUUUUUAACCACCAUUUGUGUAUAUUGUGAUGGGCAUGCAUAUACAAUUUUUGAAGAUUUUUAUGCAUUCAAACCUUUUUAUUUUUUUUUUACUUUUCAAACAUUUUUUAAUAUAUUAAUGGCAAAAAUGAACUUCUAAAAUUGUUGAAUUUGGUAACGGAUACAACGUUUUUCCUCUAAGAUAAACCGGUUUCGCAAGUGUUGUCCAAUAACUUCUCAUCUUUUCAACCGCACUUUGUCUAUAUUAUCUAGGGCAUGCGCGUAGACACUUUUUGAAGAAGUUGAUGAGUUCCUAACGAUUUAUAUAUAUAUACAUAUAUAUUUCCUUUUAUUCUUUUAGUAUUUUUUACUUUUAACAUAUAUUAAUGGUAAAAAUGAACCAAUAAAUUGUUUUGAUUUGGUGACAAACGUACUGUUUAUCUUCUAUAGUAAGCCGGUUCUGCAAG